UCAACAAAAUGCAAUUAGAAAAAGCGGUAAAUUAAGUACAUAACUGACUUGCAAUAGUUUCAUUCAUGAAAAAAUUGCAAGCAGUUCACUAAAAUGAAGUUUUUAUUCAAUGGAGCUCGUAAUGGAUAAAUUGACAACUAUUGUGGAAAUAAUCACUUUAUUUGCUCGUAUUAAAUUAUCAGCAGUAUUUAUUACUUAGGCAUCAUUGAUAUCCCGACAAACUACCGAAUACGAAAUGCAUCGACAUCAACGAGUGGGCGUGCGAAGUGCUGUCCUGCUUAUGCACAUUGUUAUGUUCUCCCCUGGCGGGUCGUUGAGCCGAUGAACGCGUUUUGACAGCACUGCUCUAGUAUAGAAAAGUUUCGUAUUUCGUGUUGGUCGUCAACAAAUUUUCACAAUGUAAAGACUUUAAUAUCUACUAUAAAUUACAUUGAAAAUCGGCUAAUGUGAUUGAAUAAUAUAUUUGAAAUGAUUGUUGUCUAAAGGCAAUUGAAAAGGCGGAUUUGGUGGUAAUUUAUAAACAAAUAUAUGAUUUGUAAAUGUAGUUAACUAAAAUCAUGUCAGCAAGUUUUCAUUUGAUUGUUUUUUUUUGUAAGUUAAAUGAAUGAAGCUCCAAAUAAAAGAUUGUGCUCACACUGGCGCAAGUCGAGUUGAAUCUGUAGUACGUUCUAUUAUGUUCGAUAAGUGCACAUAAGCUUGGUGGUGACAAGCAUAUUUGGAGAUUACAAAAGUUUAUAAAAUUCAUUGAGAUCAAAAUAUUUAUAAAAGUGAAGUAAUUGAAAAGUGAAUUGUGUACAUGCAUGGCGAUAAAUUAAGUAAACGAAAUUUCUUUGUAUUCGCACAAGAAAAGACUAGUGCAGUAUUAAAGUUUAUUGUGAAUGAGAACUGUGAAAGCGAUGCGCUCUAACAUUGAAUGAACCCCUCUAGAGUUAAUCAAAAUAGAUAUGCUUCGUCAAUGAGAGAAUUUGAAUAUUUGGUAGCUUGAGCAAAUUAAUCAUGUGAAGUAUUGUAUUUAAUCUGAUGGAAAUAUCCUAAAUACUGUGGGUUAUAAAAAAGUACAGCACAAAAUCAGCAAUUUAGAGUACACAAGUUGCAAGUCUUUUGUCUGAUUGACCAUUGUUGCAAAAAUGUCGGAAGAUAACGCUUAUAAGGAUGGCGACAUCGUUUGGGUGAAACUGGGCAAUAACUGGUGGCCUGGUGAAGUCACCGAUGUGCAUCGUCAGCCUGAUGACCUUCUCAAACAACUAAAAAAGAAACCCUAUUGCGUUGUAAAGUUUUUCCAAGAAGAUGCCUAUGAAUAUAUAAAGAGUGCAAAACAAAUAUUUCCUUUCCAAUGCAGCAAAAAAGAUGAGUUUAUUAAAAAAGGGACUGCUUUAUAUAAUGCCAAAAAUAAAUUUAUGGAGAAGUUCCCCUCAGAUGUGGAGACCGCUGAGCGUUUAACACGUAAAACUAUUGAUUCAGAUUUGCUGAUUAUAAAUGAUCGUCCAGAUAGCAUUGUCAAGGCAAUACUAGGACCGACUCUUACACGACGAAGUGACGAUUAUUACGACAAUGAAUACAUACAUAGUUCCACCAAUGACUACAACAAUAAACGCAGAAGUGGGGAUUCUGUAACAAAAAUCCUCAACAUUACACCGAAACGUACAACAGCAGCAGCAAACCUUUCUCCAGAUAAAGGAAAAUCAAUAAUUUCACCGCAUAGCACUUCAAGUUUCGUAACGAACUCUAUCCCCAGCAGUGCAGAAACGAAUUUUUAUCGAUGUAAUUUGUGCGCUUUCUCUAGCCAAAGGCAAAAUGUUAUGAUCUUACAUCGACGGACACAUAGCGGCAGUGGCACGCCGACAUCCGCACAGACGCCUUCAACGUCCAAUGCACGCAAGGUACCUUCGGCUACUAUAACUUCAGAAAACGAGUGUAAGAGCUAUAUAUCUACGAUGACUUGGAAGCUUCAAUUACCUACAAUAUCUUCGAAAUGCGAACGAAACUCUUUGAGCGAAGAUGAUGAUCAAAAAUACCCUGCAGUACUCGACGCCAGCACAUUUCACAGAGCAAAGUCCACAAAAAAUGAAAUCUUGUCACCGGUGAAUAGUCGAAGCGUUAGUGGUACUAAAUACAAGCCUUAUCUACUCGCCGGAAGCGAAAGAGCAAGUCGCUCUUCUGCUGCAAGCACGUCGCGUGAGAAAGCAUACACAUCGUUGCGUAUUGAUGCCGAUAUAAAAGAAAUUACUUUGCCCGACGGAAUGCCAGUAUCUUCCAUAAAGGGAGAGCUUAAAUUAAGUAUUGAAGACGAUACCACCGAUAACUCAUCGUCACAUACGACAGAGGACAUAUUGAGAUCAUGUAGUCCGCGAAAGCGCAACAUUGAUUCCGGUGAAAUUAUUGAUAACAAAUCCACCGAGUUGAAAAGAACGGCUGAAGAAAUACGCCUACGGCUACUGGCUGACUGGAGCGACGGUGAAAAAGAGGAUGAGUUGAUUGACGGUGUAAAACUGAAUUUCAGUCUUGAAACGCCUUCAAAGAUAGAAACACCACAAUACAAAUUAGAUAAGUUAACAACAACCCCAUCAACAGAAGUGAAAAGUGAAAACUCUCCAUUGGAUUUGGCGACACCAGUAUGCACGACAAUAAAUAACUUUGGUGUACAAGCUUCAAGUCAGACUCAACAUCAAAAUCGUAUUAGAAACAUACCGAAGAAGGAUCGACGUGACGCGGUAUUAAAAGAAUUCAUAAAUGACUAUAAUUUAGAGUUGCCUACGGUGGUUGAUAAUAUGGAGAAUAUAAAUUGUAAUAGCAGCAGCAGCUCCGAUUCAGUGGUUGUAGUUGGGGUUGUACCGCCAAAUUGUGGCGAAACAAUUAUUCUCGAUGACAAUACAGGCACGGAUGGUGAAACAGAAUUAACGGUUGACAAAGAUCGAUUAAUCAGAAAUGAAGCAUCGAUAAAUAAUAUACAAUUCAAUGAUAUAACAAAAGAUACAAGUUCUAUUACGAGCGUGGUACAAGAAGAACACUUAUCUGAAGAACAUCUAAAAGAGUCGAAUAUUGAAGGGCCAGUGCCAAUGAAAUGCACUGAUGUAUCGACUAACCAAAAGCAAGUUAAUAGACUUGAUGAUAAACGUGAAGAAGAAUUUCAGUCAGAGCAACAAGAAAACGCAGCAACGCGUGAACUUGAAUUUAGGUCCACUGAGGAAAAUGUACAAAAAAAAUCGAGAGAAGAAAUUAAACAAGAUUUGAAGUCAGAAAGCGAAGAUGUCAAGCAACCGAAACAAAAGUGUCUCGCAAAGGGGCAAAAAUCAGAUAAAAGGCGAAGGAAUUCAAAGGAAGUUCUUAAUGAUAGUUCUGAAAAUACAACAGCAAAUAAAUUGGUAGAGGAAUUGCCAAACGUACAAACUGCUCAUGAAAAAGUAGAACUUAUGUCAGCGUCACCACAACGCUUGAAAGAAGAAGAACAACCUCACACCAGCGCUCCCGCGAACCCGCGGACCGAUUGUUUUGAUUUUCAAGAGGAAGAAGAUGAAACUAGCAGCGACGCACUAAAAUCUAUAGCCGAUUUCAAAAAGAAAUAUUUGUCUCCGGAGAAAGGACAAGACAAACCUCAGACUGAUAGUUACAUAUUGCCCGAAAGCGAACGACAACUUUCAACUGAGCAGAGGGAUCAACAGUUGUCGGAUGAUAUCGAAAAAUUGCUUGAACAAACAACAGCACCCAAAAUUUCGGAAGAGGCGUCUCUUGGGGACAUUUCGCCAACACAGUCUUUCUGCAGUAGCAAGGAGGAGUUGCCAGUUAAAGGUUUACCGAUUAAAGAACGAGGCAAACGUAUAUUCAAAUCUCGUAAUCGUUCAAGGAUUGAAGAGCUGCCUACAUCAACAGCAGACAGUUCGGAAAUUGUUCUAUCAGGGCAAGCAAUCGAUGCUGCCGGGACAAAAAUGGAUGAAAAUGGAACAGUGACAGUUACUGAGCAAAUCCAACUCGAGGAAAAAAAUAUGUUUAGUGAGAAAGUUGAACCGAACACAAAAGCAAAUCAACAAAAACAAUAUGCUCCUAUAGAUGACGUCGAUGAGUAUGAAAAUGAAAAGCAAUCUUUGACAUUUACAGCCCCUGCUUUAGAAAUGAAUGCUGUAAAAACGAAUGAUUUUCAAGUAAUGGAACAAGAUAAAGAGAAUGAAGGAAAUAUCGAAAUCGUGCGGCUCGAUUCCGUCGAGGAAACAACUGUAUUAAAAGUAAAAAAUUUAAAAAAUGGUUCAUUGGCUACUUCUACUACGACGAUGGAGGUCUUACAUUGUGCAAGCUUGGAACAAAAGAAAUCCGCUAUUCUAGAAACUAAUGAAACACUUUUAUGUCUAACAGAUACAGAGAUUUGCAAUCAUGAUGAUUUACAAUUCUCAAAGCAAAAUAUUGAAAACACAGAACGAAAAAACGGAUGUGAAACCGAAAAUUUAGAGCCAAUUAUGGAGGACAAUGUUAAAGAAACUGAACAUUUUCCACCACAUGAGAAUAUUUCAGAUGAACUGAAGACACUAAAAGAUCAUUACAGUACUGCCGACAAUACCGCAGAUUUGGAGGAUAUUCAAGAAAUUUGCGAUAUACCCACGAGUGAGGACAGAACUACUAUCGGGGAAGAAAGUUCGCAAGAGAAGUUUAAAUCUAAUGCUACAUCCGAAAGGAAAAUGAUAAAUGAAGAUAAGAGUAAUGAUUUAAAUAUUCUACUACCCACAACGACAUUGUCUAAUAUACAUAGUGAAAUAAAUUUGAUGGAUGCAUGUACGGUUGAAAACAAAGAACAAUCUGAAGUCACGGACAUAAAGCACCAGUUAAAUAAUGAUGAUAAAGCGUUGGAACAAGAAACGGAGAAUUCUUUGGCUGUAAAUAUAAAGAAUAAUAUAGUGGAGGAACAACAACAUGACGUCAUGUUGUUAGGUGAAGAAGUGCUACAAAGCCGUCUCACUUCGCCAACUGAUGACAACAGUUCAAUUUGCAUUUCUGAAACGGGUGCAGAGUUUGGAUCGCCCACCUCAAUGUUAGACGAUGAGCGUUUGCCUACUUUGACUGACAGGCUGAUGACACCCACCGAAGGGUUGGUAGAGACAACACCUUCACAAGACGAAGAUGCAAAAACACUAUUGGAACAAGAAAUAAAUAUUGUAGGAGGAGAUGAAGUAAACGAUAUGCAAAACCAAAACAAAAAUAUAGAAUCAAUAGACGAAGUGCUUGUACCCUUGGUUGAGAGCAGAGAAGAUUCAAUAACUAAAAACCAGAAAAUAUUAGGAGAUGUAAUGCAAGAGAUAACACGUGAAAGUGAAAUGAAUGACAAUGAAACGCAUACACAUGUUGUGGAAGAAUGCGAUGGAAAUGCUAAAGAUGAAAACUCUGGACUCGUAGAAACAAGCUUACAAAAAAAGAACAUGGAAUCUGUAUUGAAAGAAGAUGAGAUUUCAAGAGAGGAAAAGGAGCAGGAAAAGGAUGGCAAUGAGCAGGCUACAAGCGAUGUAAAUAACUGUCUUAUUGAACAUGUGGAAAUUCCCGAAAACAAUAAAAAUGAUGAGUCAAAUAUAUUAGAAUAUAAUAAUAGUGUAGUUGAUACACCGCGUACUGAAACCGAUGAAACUCAUAUAAAUUUUGAGGAAACUGAAACGCCUGAAAUACAAAACCAAACAGAAAUUGUUGUAGUGGCGCGUGAAGUAACAGAUGAGGCACAGCAGAAAGAAUCUGAAAAAGAAAAAGAUACAGAAGAUAUUGUAAAUAAUGUUAUUGAAGAACAAAAUGAAGAUAACGAAAAUCCAUCUAAGGAGGAAGACAACAUUGUCGAAAAUAAAUUAACUGAAGAUCAGUUGCAGAUUGAAAACGGGGGAAAUCAAGAAGACAACAAAACACUAAGCACAGAUGUUUUAAAUAAUGAAGUGUCUAAUGAAGAAUCAGCUAAAGUCAUUGAGCACGCACAGCAUGAGGAAUCCGAUGCAGAUGACGAUUUCAUCGAGAGUCCACCUCAUGAACCCCUUUCCGGACAUGAAGGGGAAGGUGAUACAGAAACAUUUGCGACAAAACCAAAAUUAUUAAAUAAAACACAUAAGUGGCGUGCAACAUCGAAUUCAUCGAGCAACUCACCAAACUCAUUUUCUGAAUUUACCAAAGAUACAACCAGUAGAAAACGACAUACCCGAACGUUGAAACAACAAAAAGAAAAAUCGAAUGAUUUUAUGAAAGAGCUAGAUUUAACAGAUUUAAAUGACAAAGAUAAUACGACGAUAUGUCAAAACCAACGAAAAUCAACGAAAGUUGAAAAACGAGCGCAAAAAGAAACAGAUACAAAAAAUGAUGACGUCGUUGUUGAAGCCAAAGCAGAAAAACAAGAUACUGUCGCCGAUCAAAUUGGAGUUAAUCACCUGAAUAUAACAACUCAACAACCACACAAUGAAAAUUCUGAUCCCACAUUGGUCGUUUUGCCCACCGAUACAUAUGCUAAUCCACAACCAGACGAGCAGGUUAAUGAAUUACCGACUGGCCAAGCUCCCAUAAAUCGGUUGCCUGGAGUAAAAUCUGAAUUUUCUCGCAAGCGACGUAGCGCAACAAAACCAACUCCUCGGCGUAAUGCGGUUGCGGCAAAAAACUACGUAAUGGAAGAGAACGAUGUAAAUAACGAAGAAGAGGACAUACAGCAUCUGAAGAGUCGAAAAUUGGAGAGCCCAAAUAUCACCAAUACAAGUAUUGAAACUAUGGAAGUAACCGAGGAGAUAAAAACUACGCCAAAUGAGAUAAGAAACUACGAAGAUGAAAAUAAGAGUAAUUAUAUGAAGGAAUUGGAGGGAUCAGAAGAAACCGUCGAAUUUAAUGCUAAUGAACCAGCAGACUCUCUUAUAAUAGAGGAUGACCAGUGCAUAAUUGAAGAAGUAUACCUAAAUGAUACAGUGUCAGUGCAACAAAUAGCUAUAGAGGAAUUGCCAGAUAAUAGUACCACAAAAGAUGAGAACACUUCGGAAACAACAGUCUCUGAGUUAAAUUCGUUUCAUCCUAUUGAUGUACCCAACGCAGUGGAGUAUGUGAAUUACUCUUCAAUUGAAAAUCAACAACCGAUCGAAGAGGUAAUAGUAGGAGCUACCAACCAAGUGGAGACAGCCACGGACAUUGACUCACUGCGAAAUACAGACGAGGGCUCAAAUAUUGCAAAUGAGACCUCGAAUAAGCGGCUGGUGCCUGCCAUUAAUCCACAUCCUAAAGCAGAUAACACAUGUGUCAACAUUUCUCCUAUGGAGAAGGUUCGGAUCAACGUAGAUGUCGCCAAUCCACUUUCGACACAAAUAGCAAAUAUUUUAGCCACAAAAUCUGCAACUGGUGCAACAUUAACGGCAACAAAGCAAAGGAAGUCCAAUCUUGAAGAAUCUAUACCAUCAUUUAUAAUCGAGCGACCAGGACAGGGGGUGGGUACACAUCAACAUCAACAAAAACAACAUGCAUCAUCUUCCGGUUUAGAGUUUAUUGGCGAGCAAGAUGCUGUUGCACACGUUCAGCAAAUGUGCCCCCAGGUUAAAAUCACCCGAAAAGAAAAAUUGAUUGAAGUAGCGUCAACAGCUACCGUGAUAGAACAGGAACAAGCUGGAGCACCUUCCAAUGCUAUGUUCGACAUCAGCAAUAUGCCUAUAGUGCUUGGUAAUGAACAUUUUAUGUCAGCACAGGGUGAUAUGCAAAUUGUAUUGACGUCAUCCGCAGAAACAGAAGAGCAUUUAGGUUCAGACGGCCCACAGAUUUUACAACAACAAAUUAUUCAACCUGCAUACAGAACGACACAGCAAGUUUCUCAGCAACGGCAACGCAAACGAUCCACAAGUCAACAGCCGCAACAAGCGAGCACCGUGGGAGGUAAUAAACACGGUAUAAUUAUAAUUAAGGCGGCGCCGAGUGAUUUGAUAAUACAACAGACACCUUCAGUUCAAGUGACCCAAUCGCAAUCGCAGUCGGUUCCCGGUGGUGUCACACAACAAUUCUCAACAUCAUCCACCGACACAAUGACCACAUAUAAUCUCGGUUCCGGUGUCACUUUGCGUCCAAUAGCUGAACCGAAACAAAAACAACAGCAACGCCAACAACAGCAACUUCAGCAGAAGCAGCAACAGACUGGUAACAAGACAAAACCUGCGGCGUCCUCAUCAACCGGUGGCCGCAAACACGCUGGCAAUACAAUAACAUUGCCAAGCACUAUUACGGUGAAGCAUCGUCAACAAAAAAUUGCAGAGGAUCAAACAAAUGCAGUAGGCAGCGCAGUAGCAGUUAAUGAACAACAAUCGCAACUAACUCCUUCGGCAAAUGUUAAAGGUCAAAAGCGUAAUCAUCCAACGAACUCAAGACGCUCACAAACUCAGUCGCAGAUAGUUCAGCAGCGUCGAUUAACUGCUACGGCGAGCAAUUUGGGGGAACUUCAGCAAAAAGAUCAACAACUAUCUACUAGUGACGACUGUGCGUCGCUAAAUAGACGAUUAAGUCACUCGGAAGGACAUGCGCCACCACCCGCAAAAAUAUCCCGAAGCACCGCUACUGGCUCAUCUACUUUCGACAACCACAACGAGCCAACAUUUGCUGCAACGGCGGAACAACAACUUUUACAACUGCAGCAGCAACAAUUACAACAACAUGCAGUACAAUCUCCGACGACGACGGAGCCACCGCCGCUACAUCCGCUGCACAAUCGCAAACAACGUCAUUCAUCGCAACACAAUCGACGAUUGAGCACAAAAGCCGAGCUGUCAGCACAAAUGUGCUUGCAAGAACAAGCCCAGCAGCAGCAGCAACAACGAUUACAGUCAACACAGAUGGUAUUGUUGGAUCAACAGCAGCAACAGGGUUUUGAAGAGCAACAACAAGAGCAGCACAUGACUGCAGUUCAUAUAGCAGAGUUAGCGUCGGAAUCGCCGUCAGCUGAAAUUAUUCCAGCGGAAUUUGAAGCGAUACAAAUGCAAGAUCAAGUGCCUGAGGUCUACACCGAAGAAAUUUUAGCUGAAGAAUUUGAAGCGAAUGAGCAUACACCAUCAGUAAUAGCCGUGCCGGCACAGUCAGUACCAGGCUACCCCGACACGCUAUUAUUAUGUCGAAAAGUAGGUGAGGAGUGGGUCCCUAUAGUAGCUCAGCCUUACUACUAUACACGCUGUGACCAACAAUUAAGGCCCAUACCAAAGGAAGUACUUAUCGGACACCCGAUAUUGACGCCGAAUGCAGAUAAAACACCAGAUUUUCAUACCGCCGAAGUAGAAACGGAAGAUGUACAGACGACGCCUGCUAAUGAAGCGUACAAAGGAGAGACAGGAGUUACCAUUUUAAUUGGCUCUGAAUUAGUACAUAUGGAAUGGGAUCAGUUUUUGGAGGUUAUGCGUUCAACUGAUGAUUUGUUUGAUUUGCGCGAUCACCUUGGACGCGUAUUCCAGCUGACGCGGGAUGCAUUAGAUACCCUACAACAGGAUGUUAAUUUGCAAGAAAAAUUUCGGCAACUACAGCAGUUGUUGGAAGAACAACAAUUAGAAGAACAGCAGCAACUUGAGCAACAAGAGAUAUUGCAACAACAAUUCAUACAGCAGUUGCAAACAGUUACAGUUGCUGGAGAUGAAGGAUUAGAAGCUGAUAUCAUACCAUUGUUACAAAUAGACACAUCGCAAACGUUACAGCUAAUAGGAACGGAUGACGGCAGUCUUAUACUACAAUCAGCUCUGACGCAACCACCACUUUCUCCACCAUGCACGCGCCCUGCACUAACAAAUGCGACAAAUGCGCUGCUAAACCAAACGCCCAUCAUGUCACCGCUGGAAAAGCCAUCUACAGCUGCUAAUACCGCUUUGAUAGCCGAAAAUUCGGGACAAAACAUUGACCUGUCCUCAGCAACAACAGUCGACCAUCUUGGAGCAGGUGGUUUUAUUGCGUCGGAUUCAGGGAGUGGCAUGCCAAGUUUGGGUGAUAGUCUGGCUGUUAUAGGAGUUGUGCCUACACAACCUACACUGCUGCCCACCACCGUAACCAAUCCAGCGAUUGCGCCACCAAAGUCUGAUUUAAUACCGAACAUGACAACGGCAGCCCAAAUGCACGCACAAUACCGGCAUGCGCAGCGUGCAAUAUACAAUGAUCCUGGGAGUUAAUAUUGCCCAAAUAUGCUCUAUUUAGACAAUGGGAACAAUGGUCUAUUAGGGGAUGUGCGAAGGUCGGGGAAUGCUGCAGUCCAAGUGGGCGUUGGUACUACUGUGGAACGUGCGGGCGCUGUUGACAUGGGGGUGGAUGAAGUGAAUGAAAUGAAUGAUGUGAAUUUGGAUACAAAUGUGGUGGAGUAGUCCAUGGAACGCAUUGGUUGGGUCGCCAAAAUAACAUUUCUUUCCUGGAUAUAGUAAAGCUUUAUAUACAUUCGUAGCCUCUCUUAGCUGAGCAUAUCGGUGAUCUACAGAAAACAAGGUUUUCUCAUACAAAACCAGUUUAAACAACAAGGACACACUUGUAGUUCUUCUUUAAUAAAUAAUUGUAUUUUUACUGCAUAUACAUAUACAUUUGUAUAAA
This 10515-nucleotide unclassified non-coding RNA is filed under the name Bactrocera latifrons. Its description in RNAcentral is "uncharacterized LOC108969533, transcript variant X1". The record is from RNAcentral. Lineage: Eukaryota; Metazoa; Arthropoda; Insecta; Diptera; Tephritidae.